Molecule: long non-coding RNA, 1015 nt
Organism: Mytilus californianus (California mussel)
Lineage: Eukaryota; Metazoa; Mollusca; Bivalvia; Mytilida; Mytilidae
Exons: 4
Source: RefSeq, a predicted model, not a curated record
UUUAAGCAGUAAAUAUCAUUUUAAAAAUGAAUUGAGUCAGUAAAGUCGGGAUGCUGAUUAUGCUAAGAAACACUGGAUAUUGGUCUAUAAUAGACUAUUGAAUGGGGAAACCAGCAUGUACUAUUUGCACAUGGUCAUGGAUAACUAUUCUUCGUGACGAUAUCCGGGACCGGAGGUCGGUUUUUAAAACGCUUGAAUGAUUCAGAUGAAUGAUGCAAAUUGAAGACGCCGGUAGCCAAUUGCAACUGACAACAACUUGAACAAGUACUUGUUUCUGUUUAUUUAACGAGACAAACACAAUCAAGGAGUUAUGAACGCAUAGAAACUCGAGGAAAUAAAACAGCAGUACAUUGUAUUACAACAAAUGGUCAGAGGAGUUGACUGAUAAUGGACUGGAGUAACCUAGGGUCCAAUGACUCUGAAAAUGCAUGACAGUACUGGCAUGUGAACAUGUAUGUCGACAGCCAAUUCUAAGUAACCUUAAACGUAUACAUUGUAUAUAUACAAAAGACCUGCAAUAAUGAAUUAACUCCUCAGAUGUCAGUGGAAUGGAAGUAAUACACAUCAUAUGUUUCAAUGAAAUUAAUAUGAUUAAUGAUGGGAUAAGACGUAGAGGAGAUCCUAUAUCUACAAUACAUGUAUAUGUAACUGCAAAUGUAUUCCAAGAGUUUAUGGCUGAUUAUGCAACUACAGGAUUUUAUCAUGGAAGCAACAUCUUAGAAGGAUAAGUGCAAAUGUAUGAAGGAAGCCUUGUGUAUAAAUACAUGUAGCAAUUACAUAUGCAGGAGAGAACACUUAAACAUUACUAACAUGUAGUCAUGAUAUGGGCGUGGUGCAUUCUAGAAAUCUAAACACCAGGAAUUAAAUAUUGUAUAUAUUUUUUUUCAACUACAAGUACUUUCAGUAUAUCAUACAAUUCUAAUUCAAAUUAUUGUGUCAACAUGACAGUUACUGUCUAAAAAUGGAAAAUGCUUGUUUUAAAAUGAAUUUUUUAUAAAUAUAUAAAUAACAAGAA